AAGCUAACCUCUAUAUUCAACUGCAAGUGGCAAAUUAGCAGUCAGACAUUCAUGUCAACCUUAAAAAGUGAAAACAUUUAAUGAGAAUCUUACUAACAUAACUUAGAAGGAAAUUGUUCCUCUGAAACUGACUCAGUUCCACUCUUAAAUUGUUAUACAUCACUGAAUAUUCUCCAUAUUACCAUUAUCUACUAGCUCUAUUAUGUGUCAUAGAACUUUAGAGCUAUUCGAAGACAGAAUAUAAGAUUGAAAUGCUUGCAUAAUUCAUAAACUAUGUACCAGCCAUCCAUCAAAGCCCAA
RNAcentral lists this unclassified non-coding RNA (300 nucleotides) under Hevea brasiliensis (rubber tree). The record is from RNAcentral. Lineage: Eukaryota; Viridiplantae; Streptophyta; Magnoliopsida; Malpighiales; Euphorbiaceae.